AGUGAACGCUGGCGGUAGGCCUAACACAUGCAAGUCGAACGGCAGCACAGUAAGAGCUUGCUCUUACGGGUGGCGAGUGGCGGACGGGUGAGGAAUACAUCGGAAUCUACUUUUUCGUGGGGGAUAACGUAGGUAACUUACGCUAAUACCGCAUACGACCUACGGGUGAAAGCAGGGGAUCUUCGGACCUUGCGCGAUUGAAUGAGCCGAUGUCGGAUUAGCUAGUUGGCGGGGUAAAGGUCCACCAAGGCGACGAUCCGUAGCUGGUCUGAGAGGAUGAUCAGCCACACUGGAACUGAGACACGGUCCAGACUCCUACGGGAGGCAGCAGUGGGGAAUAUUGGACAAUGGGCGCAAGCCUGAUCCAGCCAUACCGCGUGGGUGAAGAAGGCCUUCGGGUUGUAAAGCCCUUUUGUUGGGAAAGAAAAGCAGCAGGUUAAUACCCCGCUGUUCUGACGGUACCCAAAGAAUAAGCACCGGCUAACUUCGUG
RNAcentral lists this ribosomal RNA (491 nucleotides) under uncultured bacterium. RNAcentral describes it as "partial 16S ribosomal RNA". It matches the Rfam family "Bacterial small subunit ribosomal RNA", at positions 29 to 507 of the family's 1533-position model. The record is from RNAcentral.